This 1650-nucleotide long non-coding RNA is filed under the name Oryctolagus cuniculus (rabbit). RNAcentral's name for it is "lncRNA (ENSOCUG00000034788.1)". Lineage: Eukaryota; Metazoa; Chordata; Mammalia; Lagomorpha; Leporidae. The record is from RNAcentral.
AUGCCGGCGUUGCAGGCAGUGGCUUUACCUGCUACGCCACAGCGCUGGCCCCCCAGUCCAUUCUUGAAAACCCGGGUCCAGCACGCUGUUUUCCACACCCUCGUGGCUCAUGGUGUGACCCCCGCACACGCAGCUGGCGUCUGCCACUCUGCAGCCGCUCGGUCCCGGUUCAUCUCCGUGCUGCCGGGCGGUGGUGGAACUGGGUCCGGAGCGUGGGCCCCGGCUCUUGGGACACCGGCGCGGUCCGUAAGCCCGAGCUUGGGUCAGCAUCCAGCAAGGUCAUGGCGGGGAAGGGGCGGGGGAGAAGUGCGCGGCCUCGCGGCCGACGCUCGCUCUGGUCCCCAGUCACCCCCCACCCCGGGCCCUGACCUCAGCGACCUGCACAGCACGCCCCCCCUCCACGCCUCCAUGUCUCCUUCCUGGCUCGCUGUCAGGAGGAAAGGGCGAGAACGCGGCGAGACGCCCACUUCCUGGCAGGUCUGGGUGAGGAGUCAGGGGCCUGGGUUCGAGCCCCGUGUCCCCGCUGACUCAGCGCCACCUUCGGCCCCACUUCCCCCGCCGCACCUCAGUUCCUCAUGGUGGAGUCGGGUUAGGCCAGACCUCCCCACGGUGACCGGGGCUGUUGCAACCCGGACUGGCGAGCGCCCGCCUGCCCCGGGUCCCACGUGCUCCUGGACGUCUGCCCUCACGUGGAGGAAGCCACGGGGAGGCGGCCGAGGGUCUGUUCUUGAACCCCCCAGACCAAAGCGCCACGUUCCGGGUCCCGGCCGAGUCUGCACUUCGAGUGCCACCCUCGCUCCCAGCUCCGGCCUUUGCAUCAGGGCCCCGGCGUGGCACUCGGAUUCCCCACCCACCUCGGGGCCGGCAGAGCCCAGCCCAUCUCUGUCUCUGUCUCUGUCUCUCUCUGUCUCUGUGUCUCUCUGUCUCUCUCUGUCUCUCUGUCUCUCUCUCUCUGUCUCUCUCUCUCUGUGUCUCCGUCUCUCUGUCUCUCUCUCGCUCACUCGUGUGCUCUCCGCCUCGCCCGCUCUGUACCACCUGCUGCCCUGUGAACCCACCGGCUUCUUCCCACCACAGGACACUGGCCUUGGCCGCCCGCCCCGGUCAGAGUCCCUCUCCCCAGCCGUCUCCCACCGGGCGCGGCGGGACCCCGGCAGCUCUCAGCCAAGGCCGUGUGAGCGCAGCCGCAUGACCCUGGCAUCUCCCCCUGUGCAGGCACCCUCCACACCCUAUUCUGUGCCAGAGACCAAGGCCUUGAAGGCACCUGGGGACUGCAGUGUUUGGGCUCCCAGGGGCUCCCAGGGGCUCCCACUGGCUCACGGGGGCUCCUACGACAGCGAAGACUCUGCUUGCGAUACCCAUCUCCCACACCAGAGCACCUGGGUUCAAGGCCCGGCUCCACUUCCAACUCCAGCUUCCUGCUGAUGCCCUGGGAGGCAGCCGUGAUGGCUCAACGGCUUAGGCCCCUGUCACCCACUCGGGACACGCAGGACGGAGUUCCAGGCCCCUGGCUUUGGCCUGGCUCAGCUCUGGCUACUGUAGGCAUUUGGGGAGUGAGCCAGUAGAUGGAAGACUGACUCUCUCUCUCCCUCUCCUCUCCCUCUCCCUCUCUCUCAUAUAUAUAUGAAUAAACAUCUUCCACAACAAAGGCCA